AUUGAACGCUGGCGGCAUGCCUUACACAUGCAAGUCGAACGGCAGCACGGGAGCAAUCCUGGUGGCGAGUGGCGAACGGGUGAGUAAUGUAUCGGAACGUACCUUUCAGUGGGGGAUAACGUAGCGAAAGUUACGCUAAUACCGCAUAUUCUGUGAGCAGGAAAGCAGGGGAUCGCAAGACCUUGCGCUGAUUGAGCGGCCGAUAUCAGAUUAGCUAGUUGGUGAGGUAAAGGCUCACCAAGGCGACGAUCUGUAGCGGGUCUGAGAGGAUGAUCCGCCACACUGGAACUGAGACACGGUCCAGACUCCUACGGGAGGCAGCAGUGGGGAAUUUUGGACAAUGGGCGCAAGCCUGAUCCAGCCAUGCCGCGUGAGUGA
This 378-nucleotide ribosomal RNA is filed under the name uncultured bacterium. RNAcentral describes it as "bacterial SSU rRNA". It matches the Rfam family "Bacterial small subunit ribosomal RNA", at positions 30 to 408 of the family's 1533-position model. The record is from RNAcentral.